This 1186-nucleotide long non-coding RNA is filed under the name Homo sapiens (human). RNAcentral's name for it is "non-protein coding SNHG17:2". Lineage: Eukaryota; Metazoa; Chordata; Mammalia; Primates; Hominidae. The record is from RNAcentral.
AUUUCCGCCGGCGCGAAACGAGCGUAGCUUCCUUGUCGUGUGGCCUCAGUCCUUCGCCGUCCCUCGCCGUCCUUCGCCAUCGCACGCCACCGCACCCCAUCUCUCGAAAUCUGCAGACAUCUUGAUUUUUCCCACGCUGUCUGUCAGGUCUCCGCCGCCACUCGACGCCAGGGCGCCGGGUGAGUCCACAGCAGGGCGCAUGGUCGGCUCCACUCUCACCAUCGGGGGAAACUGAGGCCCCGGGGAAGGCGGCCAGAGAGGUCAGGCCCUGUCCUUGGUGCAGUGUCUCGUCCUCUUUGCCGGAGUGAGCCCCCCAGGAUUCGCGUGUCCUCGGGAAAGACACUGGCAGGCCUUGUGGGCUGUGCUGCACCUCGGACGGCUUCGCACCAGCCAGCGCCCUCUCUCUCCUGCAGCACUCUGAUCUGCACCCCCUGAGGGGCUUCCACUGUCCGCGGGGUGAGAAUGCCCCUGGGAGUGUCACAUGACUGCCGCCCCAUGUGUGUGAGAGGCGUCCUCUGGGAGAGCAUGGAUCCUGAGGUCCCAGGAUUGUCAGCUGACCUCUGUCCUGUGUGCCCAGUGGCCCCAGGUGACGUGUCUUCAAGAAGAGGCUGAGCUGCGGUGCUUGUAAGAGUCAUGUGCUGUUCCUGGGGCUUGGAUGAUGUAGGGGAAGCAAGGUGAAAGUGGUAUCCCGUGGUUCCACGUUCUGUCCUGCUGUGGGGCUGUCCCUCACAUGCUUUCAGUGGCUGUUGCAGAGGAAGAGCCUCCGGAAAUCUGCGUGGGUAAAGUCUCAGCCUUAGAUCCAAGGACAGUCCAAGGAAGUCCUAAGACCAUGGAGUUGGUGAUCUGGGAUCUGGGUUUGCUGAUAUUUCUCACCGUGAAUCUCUUGGUGGUGUUUGUGGGCACGAGAGGGGCAGAGAAUGGAGAGUGAGGCUACCACAUGAAGCGUCACCAGAGCUGCUCCCUGCUGCCUGCUCAGAGCACCCCGGAUCCACUGUUCAAUCUGCACAAGAUUCGGGGUCCAGACAUGGGAGACUUCAGCUGCCUCAGAGGACCGUGGACAGGGAAGGCCAGCCUCGCAUCCCUCUGUCCAUGCCUGGAAUGACUUUAAUAACCAAGAGUUUUAUUUUUGAAUUUGUAGCUGUCGUUCACUUUUUACCCACCCAUUCAAUAAACCUUACAGAAUUGC